UGUCAUCGCUUACCAUCAUCUGUGCAUAAACAAGCAUUUAACUCCUGGAACAGGCGAAAUUUCUGGGUUUCCUCUGGGAACGGGUGAAUCCACGCUUGCUGUGGCAGUGUUAACAUAUCUUGCUACUUACCUUUUG
Molecule: long non-coding RNA, 136 nt
Organism: Nothoprocta perdicaria
Lineage: Eukaryota; Metazoa; Chordata; Aves; Tinamiformes; Tinamidae
Exons: 2
Source: RefSeq, a predicted model, not a curated record